AACGAACGCUGGCGGCGUGGAUAAGACAUGCAAGUCGAACGGGACUAAAUCUGUAGCAAUACAGGUUUAGUUUAGUGGCGAACGGGUGCGUAACACGUGGGCAAUCUGCCGAGAAGUGGGGGAUAGCUCGCCGAAAGGCGAAUUAAUACCGCAUAUGAUCAGGGACGACAUCUUCCCAACAUCAAAGCCGGGGCAACCUGGCGCUUCUUGAUGAGCCCGCGGCCCANCAGCUAGUUGGUGAGGUAACGGCCCACCAAGGCUAUGACGGGUAGCUGGUCUGAGAGGACGACCAGUCACACUGGAACUGAGACACGGUCCAGACAUCUACGGGUGGCAGCAGUCGAGUAAUUUUUCUCAAGUGGGGCAACCCUGAAGGAGCGACGCCGCGUGGAGGAUGAAGG
Molecule: ribosomal RNA, 401 nt
Filed under: uncultured bacterium
Lineage: Bacteria
Description: bacterial SSU rRNA
Rfam family: Bacterial small subunit ribosomal RNA
Source: RNAcentral